RNAcentral lists this long non-coding RNA (1928 nucleotides) under Homo sapiens (human). Its description in RNAcentral is "non-protein coding lnc-ZEB1-9:1". Lineage: Eukaryota; Metazoa; Chordata; Mammalia; Primates; Hominidae. The record is from RNAcentral.
CCCGCUCCACCAUGGAAGAAGGUGCUUGCUUCCUCUUCACCCUCUGCAAUGGUUCUAAGUUUCCCCAGGUCUCCCCAGCCAUGCCUCCUGUACAGCCUGUGAAACUGGGUUGAUUAAACCUCUUUUCUUUAUAAAUUACCCAGUCUUAGGUAGUUCUUUAUAGCAGUGUGAGAAUAGACUAAUACAGAAAAUUGAUACCAGAGAAGUGGGGCAUUGAUAUAAAGAUACCUGAAAAUGUGGAAGUGACUUUGGAACUGGGAAAUGGACAGAGGUUGGAACAGUUUGGAGGGCUCAGAGGAAGAUAGGAAGAUGAGGGAAAGUUUGGAACUUCCUAGAGACUUGUUGAAUGAUUGUGACCAAGAUGCUGAAAAUGACAUGAACGGUGAAAUCCAGGCUGAGGUGGUCUCAGACAGAGGAACUUAUUAGGAACUGGAGUAAAGGUCACUCUUGCUAUACUUUAGCAAAGAGACUGGCAGGCAUUGUGCCCCUGCUCUAAAGAUUUGUGGAACUUUGAACUUGAGAGAGAUGAUUUAGGGUAUCUGGCAGAAGAAAUUUCUAAGCAGCAAAGUAUUCAGGAUAUGGCCUGGCUGCCUCUAACAGCCCACAUUUAUUUGUAUAAACAAAGAAGUGACCUGAAACUAGAACUUAUAUUUAAAAGGGAAGCAGAGCAUAAACGUUUCAAAAAUUUUCAGCCUAAACAUGCAAUAGUAAAGAAAAACCUAUGUUCUGAGGAGGAAUUCAAGGCUGUAGAAAUUUGCAUAAGUAAAGAAGAGCCGAAUGUUAAUAGCCAAGACAAAGGGGAAAAUGCCUCCAGGGCAUUUCAGAGACCUUAGCGGCAGCCCCUCCCAUCACAGGCCCGGAGGCCUAGGAGGGAAAAAUGGUUUCAUGGGCCAGGCCCAGGACCCUACUUCUCUGUGCAGCCUUGAGACAUGAUGCCCUGCAUCCCAGCCACUCCAGCUCCAGCCAUGGCUAAAAAGAUCCAAGGGGUCCAAGACUGGUGCCCAAGUCCUGACUGAGCAAGCCCAAGCAGCCUGUGUCACUGAGUUGGAGGGCGCCAUUGACGUAAUAACUUGAAACGCCCAUGAAAUUCAUCUUGGAAGUUCCCACCCAGGGAAGGAAGGGGAAGCAUUCAUCCACCGGCUCCUCAUGGCCUGCAGGUCAAAGUUGCUCCGCAGGUGUUAACGCUCCCACACUUUCAGAUUGGGAGUAGCUUCUUGCAGCUGGCUCAUGGCAGGGCUUCAGAAAAGCCACACGGCAGGAAUCUAGCUGCCAAGGGGAACCUGGAGGCCAAGGAGCACCUGCACUUAGCUGAUCAAAGCAAUGACUGGAAGAAGAGGUAGGGCCAAGGGGACUGAAGAGAUGCCAGAGAUGCACUGCAGAAGCACUGAGCCUGUCUCCAGAAUCAUCCUUCAGAGCAUCCAACUAUGGCAUCGUAUGUGUGUUUAACUAUACCUAAGAAAGAGACAGAAAGGAAGAGAUGGGGCGGGAAAAGGGAGGGAAUGGGAAGGAAAGAAAAAUGUCUUUGUUAACUCUAUUAGUCUUUCUUAGCCAAGUACAUUUUCUUCACUGCCCCAAGGAAAGAGGUCACAGCUAAAUGCAAAGAGAAAAUACAAGUAGUUAAUUCUCAGCAUUUGAGCUUCCAGUGGCUUUGACGGAUUGACCGCUUAAUGGAACUGCUUUAGGUAAUUUUUUUUUUUCAAAAUUAAUUUUAGGCCAGACAUGGUAGUUCAUGUCUUUAAUCCCAACAGUUUGGGAGGCCGAGGCAAGAGGAUCACUUGAGGACAGGGGUUCAAGACUAGCCUGGGCAACAUAGCGAGAUGCCCACUCUACAAAAAAUAAAAAAUUUAGCCAAGUGUGGUGACAUGCAUGUGUAGCCCUAGAUACUGCAGAGGCUGAGGCAGGAGGAUUGCGUGAGCCUAGGCUAUGAG